UCCCUGAUGGUCCAGUGGUUAGGGCUCAGUGCUUUCACUGCCGGGGGCCUGGGUUCAAUCCCUGGUCAGGGAA
Molecule: transfer RNA, 73 nt
Filed under: Bos taurus (domestic cattle)
Lineage: Eukaryota; Metazoa; Chordata; Mammalia; Artiodactyla; Bovidae
Also listed under: 1 other name
Rfam family: tRNA
About the family: Transfer RNA (tRNA) molecules are approximately 80 nucleotides in length. Their secondary structure includes four short double-helical elements and three loops (D, anti-codon, and T loops). Further hydrogen bonds mediate the characteristic L-shaped molecular structure. tRNAs have two regions of fundamental functional importance: the anti-codon, which is responsible for specific mRNA codon recognition, and the 3' end, to which the tRNAs corresponding amino acid is attached (by aminoacyl-tRNA synthetases). tRNAs cope with the degeneracy of the genetic code in two manners: having more than one tRNA (with a specific anti-codon) for a particular amino acid; and 'wobble' base-pairing, i.e. permitting non-standard base-pairing at the 3rd anti-codon position.
Source: Rfam by way of RNAcentral